This 1238-nucleotide long non-coding RNA is filed under the name Capra hircus (goat). RNAcentral describes it as "lncRNA (ENSCHIG00010022135.1)". Lineage: Eukaryota; Metazoa; Chordata; Mammalia; Artiodactyla; Bovidae. The record is from RNAcentral.
UGGGAAAUGCACAGCGUGGGCUUGGCUCCCACCAAAGAUGAGAGGGAGAGUGUGGAAGGCAGGCCCUUCCACAGAAAGGAGAACAGAAAGGACAAGAGGGAGGGCCGGGGAGGAGGAGGGAGGAGCAGGCCGGCCCUCCUGCCCUCACAGGGCUGUUUCGAGGGUGCUAACUUCUUGGCUAUUUGGGGAAGCUUUGCCCGCAGAUUCACUACCUCAACCGUCUGGGGCCUCAGCAGCCUGUGACUGUAGAACGAGGUCACGUGCCUCCUCAUUGCUCAGAUUAAAAUCAGGUUGAGACCCCCAGCCUUUGGUGUCAGGACAAACCCAGGGGACCUAUUUCUGAGAGCUCCCCUGGCUGUGCCAAGGGCAUGGUUGGUCAAGGCCCAGUCCCCUCUGUCCUCUGCCCUUUGCUGCCUCUGACGCCCGUGACCUUGGGUGGGCUCCCGCUCCCUCCCUGGGGCUCGGUCAUUCCAGUGAUUCUCCUCUCCCAGUGCCCUGCUCUUAGGGGACAGGGCCUCAACUCCCCCUUGGCUCCUCGGGCCCUUCCCUCAGUUUUCUACGACACAGUGGACCCUUGGCCCUAGUCUUUAAUGAAGCUUUACUGNNAGUUGAGAGUGAAUGAAUGAGAAGCCCAGACCAGUAGGAGCUUGUAAAGAUGCCUCUCUUUAGGGCCUUCCUUUUUUUAAAAGAUAUUUUUCAUGUGGACCAUUUAAAAAGUCUUUACUGAACUUGUUACAAUAUUGCUUGUGUUUUAUGGUUUGGUUUGUAUGUUUUGGGGGUUUUUGGCUGCAGGGCAAAUAAGAUCUUUGCUCCCCAACCAGGGAUUGAACCGUCACCCCCUGCAUUGGCAGGCAUAGUCUUAACCAUUGGACAACCAGGCACAUCCCUGUGUGACCUUUUCUAUCCCAGCCUGGAAGCCACUUAGGAUCUCUUCCACCUCAUUUUCUUCCUUAAGGAAGCCAGGAUCACCGCCCUGCCCACUCACCACCCCACACCCCAGGGGCGGGCCAUGGACUCUACUGCUUAGUAGGGCAAAUGUCAGAGAAUUUGAGACUUGUUUUAGAACCAUGACACUCUCCAGCCAAUUGGACUGAUAAUACCAUUUCAUAUAGAAUGGACGUGCCCUAGUUUAUUUAACCAAACUUUUCCCUAGUGGUUAUUUUCAUUAUUCUGUAUUUUUUCUGGCUGCGAUCUGCAUCUCUAUGCGUGUUGUUGCUGCUGUUUAGUCAUUCAAUUGU